Molecule: long non-coding RNA, 1492 nt
Organism: Lolium rigidum
Lineage: Eukaryota; Viridiplantae; Streptophyta; Magnoliopsida; Poales; Poaceae
Exons: 3
Source: RefSeq, a predicted model, not a curated record
GGCAGGGGCAGUCUUGCCGCUCAGAUGGUGGCUCACGGGGCCGUUCAACUUGACCAGCCACGUGAUGAUGUUCCUCGCCGAAGGAACGGAGAUUCUCGCAUCGCGUUGACACUGGUGGCUCAAGAACGGCAGCCGGACCUGGAGGAGAUGGUCCCUGGUGGAGCAUCUGCUUUUACCAGAUCAAGCGCGGCAUCCUGUACCUAGAAGCGGUGUAUCCCACAUAGUGCAACCGGUAUCAUCUCGCUCACAGUGGUGGAGGAGGACAUGGCGCCUAGCUCGAGCCGGUGGCAGUGAGCACGACGCAUAGCUUGAGCCGAUCACGGUGCCUCUGACGCCCAAUGGGCGACAAAACCAAGAUUUUCUUUAACUUUUAUGUGUCUUUGGUCUUCUGAACAAGGGACUGAAGUAAGUAUUUCCCUAUCAUGUUCAAGGUGCUUACCUAUUUUGAUUAAGUUGUAGUCUCCUUUCACUAAGUAGCUGCAUCAAUGAAUGUGGGAGUUGCUUUGCCAAUAUAGUUAAGUUGCAUCUACCACUUAAUUAAGUUUGAUUAGACAUCUUAGGUUGUUCUUCCCUAGAUUUUUUUUAAUGGACUUUGAUUUCUGAAUUAAGUUGUCCCGCAAACAUAGUUAAGUUACUUGCGCCAUUUAAUUAAGUUGAUUAGAGAUCUUAGUCUAAGUUUUUUUAGUUUACUUUCUUAAUAUUUUUGAAGUAUCUUUUUCUUUAUAGAACUGUGACUGAAACAACUCAAGCAAGAAUCCCAACAACUAAAGAUAUUUCAGAGGCAACUCAUGUUUAAGUUGUUUUUUGCACAUCGAUGGAGUGGUAUUUAUUGAUUUAUUUCACUAGUCAAAUAUCCAGACAUUAAGUUGCUUAUCCGUUUAAGUUGAUCAGCCACCUUGAGAUAUGUUGUUUAUUACACAUCAUGGGCUUAGGUGUUGUUGUUCUUGUCUGACUAGAGAAUCAUAACUCCUACAUUGCUUCUGAUUACAAUACUUUGUUGCUUUCACAUGUGUCCCUAAGUUGUUUAUAAAUACUUUGUUGCCUCACACAUGUUCUAAGUUGCUUAUAUAUACAUUACUUUGUUGUCUCAUACACGUUCUAAGUGGCUUACAAAUAAUAUCCGAUGAUUAUACAUAAUGUUGUCUCGCAAAUUAUACUUUUUUGCUAAGUUGUCGAUUACUGUAAUACUUUGUUGCCUCAUACAUCCACUAAGUAGGUUACACAUAAUGUUGAUCAUCUUUGGUUUUGAAAUCAUUGCCUCACAUAGAUAAUUAUUUUCUGACAACAUAGUUAAGCUGCUUCUCCAUGCUACACUUGCCACUUUUAAAACUAAGUUGCUUUCCAAUAGAUAUAGUAUUGAGGUUUCAUGAAAACUGAUCAUAGUUUUGAUAUUCUAUUUGGAACUUGUAUUUACUUGCAGAUUAGUCACAUCAAUUUUUUUGGUACUAUAUGCUUUCUUAACUUUUUAUUUCCUUGUAGAUCAGUGGCCAUU